This 433-nucleotide ribosomal RNA is filed under the name uncultured bacterium. RNAcentral's name for it is "partial 16S ribosomal RNA". It matches the Rfam family "Bacterial small subunit ribosomal RNA", at positions 29 to 507 of the family's 1533-position model. The record is from RNAcentral.
AGCGAACGCUGGCGGCAGGCCUAACACAUGCAAGUCGAACGGAUCCUUCGGGAUUAGUGGCGGACGGGUGAGUAACACGUGGGAACGUGCCCUUUGGUUCGGAACAACUCAGGGAAACUUGAGCUAAUACCGGAUGUGCCCUUCGGGGGAAAGAUUUAUCGCCAUUGGAGCGGCCCGCGUCUGAUUAGCUAGUUGGUGGGGUAACGGCCCACCAAGGCGACGAUCAGUAGCUGGUCUGAGAGGAUGAUCAGCCACACUGGGACUGAGACACGGCCCAGACUCCUACGGGAGGCGGCAGUGGGGAAUCUUGCGCAAUGGGCGAAAGCCUGACGCAGCCAUGCCGCGUGAAUGAUGAAGGUCUUAGGAUUGUAAAAUUCUUUCAGCGGGGACGAUAAUGACGGUACCCGCAGAAGAAGCUCCGGCUAACUUCGUG